RNAcentral lists this unclassified non-coding RNA (238 nucleotides) under uncultured Ascomycota. RNAcentral describes it as "sequence contains ITS2". Lineage: Eukaryota; Fungi; Ascomycota. The record is from RNAcentral.
AACGCACAUUGCGCCCCUUGGUAUUCCGAGGGGCAUGCCUAUUCGAGCGUCAUUAUCACCCCUCAAGCCCAGCUUGGUGUUGGGGCGUGCCGUGAAGGCAGCCCUUAAAUUCAGUGGCGGUGCCCCCAGGCUCUAAGCGUAGUAAACACGCCGCUAUGGAGCCCUGGGAGUGCUCGCCAGAACCCCCCAUUUUAUAAUGAUUGACCUCGGAUUAGGUAGGGAUACCCGCUGAACUUAA